ACUUAGUUUCUGUAAGACGUUACUUUUAUGAUAUGAGUAGAACUGAAACUGGGAUACGGUAAAACAUGUAUACUAUAUGAAUGUUGAAUCUGAAACUAUAUGAUAAAGGCUGAUGUAACUCGAGGAUCUGAAUAUACAGUCAUACGGAGCACGAAUGCAUAAACACACAGAACUAAACAUAAUAUGUGCCAAGCUUAUCUGAUUAACUGAAUGACUGAUAGUUGAAUACUGGUCAUGUAAGGCUGAACUAUACAUAGUCUGAAUAACUGGGCUGAAAUUGUAGAGUACUAUGCUUAUGAGGUAAGGACUAUCAACCCUAGUUGGAAGGGUGUCAGUACCGUGCCACGAGUACUAACGCUGGCUGUGUAGAUCCACUAACUGAUAUGUUGUCCCGAAGGACUAAGGGUGUCCAGCAUAAACUAACAGGUGACUCCUCAUAACCUGCACUGGCACGUAGUUAUAAAAUACACGAACUGCUACUAACGACUCUGCCUAACUGACGGGGAAGAUGUCAUCCCUGUAUUCGCUUAGUGCUAAAUCCUACUCCCAGCUGAAUGACACUGGAAAACUGACUGGUGUAUGAACUGAAGCUGAUAAGCUCAGGUCAUGGUAUUCUGAAAAUGACAGUGCAUAUGGAUUCUAAGGAAUUAUUAAUGUAUAAAUUGAUACUGGAACUGAAACUGGACUGAGUUUAACUGAAUAUGACGCUAACUGAAUGACAAGGCUCAUGGUUUAUCUGAAAAAAUUGAGACUAAGUAAACGGCUAAGUUUUUGAGUAUUCAUAACCCCCAGGACUCGAUAGCAAUAACAAUAGACACAUGAGAGCAUUUGAAACCAUAAUAAGUAAGCAUUAUUUAAAUAAACCCAUCACUUGGGCAUUUCAUCAAGAACAUGGAGAUUAAUACUUUAACAUGAGGCAAUUCACCAAACACAUGAGGAUCAUGAACUUUCACAUGGGGAUAUCUUAAACAUGGGAGCAUAGCACGAUUACAUAACUAAAAUCAUGAAAUUAGGAAUUCACAUGAAGUUCACUUGAAAUAGGACAUGGGCGUGUAAUUAUACAUGUAAAGAUCAUAGCUUGAACCUAAGAAUGCCUUAAGCAUGGGUGAACAAUAGAGUUACAUGGAAAAAUUCAUAACAUGGGAAUUCAUCUUGAAAUUGAUUGAACAUGAUAUGGGAAUUUCAUCAAACAUGUGGAAAUCAUGAAUUUAAGACAUGAGAAUAUUGCUAAAAAUAAUGAAUAUAGGAUCUAUCAUGGAAUUCACUCGAAUAAAUCAUGGAAAACUCAAAUUCAUAGCAUGGGGAAUUCAAAAUCCUGCAUGGAAUCACACAUGGGCUGAAAUUGAUUAAAAUCACCACGAAAACAUGAAAUUCACUCAUUCUUAAACAUACAAAAUAUCAUAAUAAUGAAAAAUCCAUUCUUUAAUUAAAAGAAAAGGGUUUUUGUCCUCCAUGGGUGAAAGGAGACCCAUGGAUGAAUUCCCACAUACCUUAAAAUAUUAAUUCUUGAAGAAGAAACACAAUCUUGAAAGCUUUCUUGAAUUGGGAAGCUUGAUUCUUGAUGGUUCUUGAAGAGGAUUGAUUAGGGUUUGUUCUUGAGAGUAAAAUAGGAUAAUGAGGGAAACUAAUUCCCUAAUGGAGACUUAAUGUCGUGUAUUUACAACCUGGGUUAAGGUGGGAAAAGACCACAUUGCCCCUCAUUCAUUUAAACCAAAAAUUCAUAACCCAUAUCCGAUUUUGCACCUUACUGCGAUGCGGUAACAUUGCGACAACUUACUGCCUCACACAAAAACUGUUAUAACUUUUCACUCGGUUAUUGGAUUAAGGCAAAUUGGUAACGUUGGAAAGAUGAUUCAAUUAUAUACAAUUUGGUGGGUCGUUAUCUGAGAAAUUAUACAUAUAUCAAAAGUUAUACAUAUUUAAAGUAGACCCUUGUAGAAUCAAAUACCAAAUUUUGAACGAAUAUAAGGUUCUUAGCUCAACUUGGCUCUAAGUGAUUUCUAGGAACAUUAUUCACCUAAUAAAUACUUAAAACACUAGGAUAAAGGUCAUGACACAUGCAUUUCAAAUAAUGGAUCAAUCACAUAGAAAAUACACCUUCACCGCGAUGCGGUGGAAUCACGUUGAUCUACUGAAAUUUUCUAUUCAAAGGACGAGUAUGAUUUAGGGGCUUGGCGCGAAGCGAGCUUAUCACGUUGAGCCACUGGAAAUGGACGAGUGUGAUUUUUCACCUUGACGCAAUGUGGCGCCAUCGUUAAGGUGGGAAAAGACCCCAUUUCCCCUCAUUCAUUUAAACCAAAAAUUCAUAACCCGUAUCCCGAUUUUGCACCUUUCUGCGAUACGGUAACAUCGCGGCAACUUACUGCCUCACACAAAAGUUGCUAUAGCUUUUCGCUCGGUUAUUAGAUUAAGGAGAAAUUGGUAUCGUUGGAAAGAUUAUUCAAUUAUAUACAAUUUGGUGGGGGUCUUUAGCUGAAAAAUUCUACGUAUAUCAAAAGUUAUACACAUUUAAAGUAGACCUUUGUAGAAUUGAAUGCCAAAUUUUGGACGAAUCUAAGGUUCUUAGCUCAACUUGGCUCUAAGUGAUUUCUAGGAACAUUAUUCACCUAAUAAGCACUUAAAACACUAGGAAAAAGUUCAUGACACAUGCAUUUCAAAUUAUGGAUCAAUAACAUGGACUAUACACCUUCACUGUGAUACGGUGGAAUCGCGUUGAGCUACUGGAAUUUGCUAUUCAAAGGACGAGUACGAUUUAGGGGCUUGGCGCGAAGCGAGCUUAUCACGUUGAGCCACUGGAAAUGGACAAGUGCAAUUUUGCACUUCACCGCGAUGCGGUUUGAUCGUGGUGAGCCACUAGAAAUACAAUCCGAACACGGUUCAAACCUCGUCCAAAAAUUUUAAAAAUUUCCCG
RNAcentral lists this long non-coding RNA (2911 nucleotides) under Capsicum annuum. RNAcentral describes it as "long non-coding RNA (CANN_LNC013543)". The record is from RNAcentral. Lineage: Eukaryota; Viridiplantae; Streptophyta; Magnoliopsida; Solanales; Solanaceae.